Non-coding RNA from Arachis ipaensis, 508 nucleotides. NCBI's taxonomy places the organism in Eukaryota, Viridiplantae, Streptophyta, Magnoliopsida, Fabales, Fabaceae. The record is from RefSeq and is a predicted model, not a curated record.
AAGUGAGGAGAUAGGUGAGAGCUUUUCACCAUUGUUACUAUUCACUUCAAACUUUCCAAGCUCAUAUCUUGAGCUACGGAGCUCCGAUCGCCGCACCGUUUGUGGCUACGCGUUCCUUGUGAAGAGCUCUACCAAACCCACCCAAGAAACCUUCAAGGUUUGCUCUAAUCCUUGCUUAGCUUUGGAUUUGUGUUAUCAAAUCUGUUGGGAAAGGUAAAAGCUCUUAAACCCUUGUGAGAUUAUGCUUAUGUUGAACCCUAGGUUGAUUUGUGGUGAUUUAUAUGUAUAUAGUUUGAUUAUUGUGGCUUUGGGAGCUUUUGGAACUUAUUUGUGCUUAUUGGAGUGGAUUUGAAAGCUUGGAUUGUGAUUGGAAGCUUGUUGGUGCUCAUUUUGAGUUUGGGUGCAUAAAGGGAAUCGGCCAAGAUGCAGGUCGCAACCCACCUCGGUGAGUUGCUUUGGUUGGUGACAGGAGCGGAGAAUCUUGGAUCAUUUUGGAGUUCUUUUUGGU